Novymonas esmeraldas is the source of this 90-nucleotide non-coding RNA. The record is from the annotation of a GenBank genome assembly. Lineage: Eukaryota; Euglenozoa; Kinetoplastea; Trypanosomatida; Trypanosomatidae.
GAGUGAAGUGGAGGAGGGUUUCCGGGUGUUGGCGGUCCUCGCCGGUUGUGUGGGGGGAAGGGUCGUUGUUCGCGUCCGCCCUUUUUUUUC